GACGAACGCUGGCGGCGUGCUUAACACGUGCAAGUCGAACGGAAAGGCCCUGCUUUUGUGGGGUGCUCGAGUGGCGAACGGGUGAGUAACACGUGAGUAACCUGCCCUUGACUUUGGGAUAACUUCAGGAAACUGGGGCUAAUACCGGAUAGGAGCUCCUGCUGCAUGGGGGGGGUUGGAAAGUUUCGGCGGUUGGGGAUGGACUCGCGGCUUAUCAGCUUGUUGGUGGGGUAGUGGCUUACCAAGGCUUUGACGGGUAGCCGGCCUGAGAGGGUGACCGGCCACAUUGGGACUGAGAUACGGCCCAGACUCCUACGGGAGGCAGCAGUGGGGAAUAUUGCACAAUGGGCGGAAGCCUGAUGCAGCAACGCCGCGUGCGGGAUGACGGCCUUCGGGUUGUAAACCGCUUUCGCCUGUGACGAAGCAUGAGUGACGGUAAUGGGUAAAGAAGCACCGGCUAACUACGUG
RNAcentral lists this ribosomal RNA (468 nucleotides) under uncultured bacterium. RNAcentral describes it as "partial 16S ribosomal RNA". It matches the Rfam family "Bacterial small subunit ribosomal RNA", at positions 28 to 507 of the family's 1533-position model. The record is from RNAcentral.